AUUGAACGCUGGCGGCAUGCUUUACACAUGCAAGUCGAACGGCAGCGGGGAGGAGCUUGCUUCUCUGCCGGCGAGUGGCGAACGGGUGAGUAUUACAUCGGAACGUGUCGAGAAGAGGGGGAUAACCACCCGAAAGGGUGGCUAAUACCGCAUAAAUUCUGAGGAAGAAAGCUGGGGACCUAGGAAUAGGCCUAGCGCUUUUUGAGCGGCCGAUGUCGGAUUAGCUAGUUGGUGAGGUAAAGGCUCACCAAGGCGAAGAUCUGUAGCGGGUCUGAGAGGAUGAUCCGCCACACUGGGACUGAGACACGGCCCAGACUCCUACGGGAGGCAGCAGUGGGGAAUUUUGGACAAUGGGGGCAACCCUGAUCCAGCCAUGCCGCGUGUAUGAAGAAGGCCUUAGGGUUGUAAAGUACUUUUGUUAGGGAAGAAAAGUCAGCUGUGAAUAAUGGCUGAUACUGACGGUACCUAAAGAAUAAGCACCGGCUAACUACGUG
Molecule: ribosomal RNA, 494 nt
Filed under: uncultured bacterium
Lineage: Bacteria
Description: partial 16S ribosomal RNA
Rfam family: Bacterial small subunit ribosomal RNA
Source: RNAcentral